UGGGGAAUAUUGCACAAUGGGCGCAAGCCUGAUGCAGCCAUGCCGCGUGUAUGAAGAAGGCCUUCGGGUUGUAAAGUACUUUCAGCGGGGAGGAAGGUGUUGAGGUAAUAACCUCAGCAAUUGACGUUUACCCGCAGAAGAAGCACCGGCUAACUCCGUGCCAGCAGCCGCGGUAAUACGGAGGGUGCAAGCGUUAAUCGGAAUUACUGGGCGUAAAGCGCACGCAAGGCGGUCUGUCAAGUCGGAUGUGAAAUCCCCGGGCUCAACCUGGGAACUGCAUUCGAAACUGGCAGGCUGGAGUCUUGUAGAGGG
RNAcentral lists this ribosomal RNA (312 nucleotides) under uncultured Enterobacteriaceae bacterium. RNAcentral's name for it is "bacterial SSU rRNA". It matches the Rfam family "Bacterial small subunit ribosomal RNA", at positions 355 to 658 of the family's 1533-position model. Lineage: Bacteria; Pseudomonadati; Pseudomonadota; Gammaproteobacteria; Enterobacterales; Enterobacteriaceae. The record is from RNAcentral.